Molecule: long non-coding RNA, 1630 nt
Organism: Acinonyx jubatus (cheetah)
Lineage: Eukaryota; Metazoa; Chordata; Mammalia; Carnivora; Felidae
Exons: 3
Source: RefSeq, a predicted model, not a curated record
GACCUGGGGACAGGGAGGGGCGGCCCUGGACACGUUCUGCCAGCCCCUGCAGGCCAACCCGCUGGCCGCGCCAUGGGUCUGCCUGCGCCGGAGGCGGGGAGGUGGGGAGCUCUGGGCGGUGGGAGGCCCCUACUCACUGCCUUUGCGGCGGCGAUAGAGGAAGAACGCCAAGGCAAUGAAGGAGAAGGUCAGCAGGAUGCCCGCUCCGAUGGUGGCCCCGGCGAUGAUGCCCACGGGUAGCACCUCUUCAGAGGGAAAGACAGGCGAGGGUGAGGCUGGCAGCUCGCGGGGACCCGAGGCCAGGCACCACGAACUCCGCCCACAUCCAGGGACGGGGACGGCACACUGUCUGCUUCAAGCCCGGGAGUUUGAGAGGAAGGUCUGCGUUGUGUCCGGGUUCAGGCCCGAGCUCCGGCUUGGUGAGUUGGGGGCACAGCCAUGUGUCAUCCCCGCAGUGUGGCACAACGUGACCCUGGCCCUGGCAGUCGGUCCGUCCCUGCCCUGCAGCCCGUGCGCCUGUGAGGUUUGGCCUCUGCUUCCUGGGCUGGGCUGCUCUUGAGGCCAGCUGUCUCCCGAUCUGUCACCGCCUCACCCCCCCCCCCCCAUUGUCAGGGUGGCAUGGGCACCUACCCUCCCAGGGCUCCCAUGGUUCUCCUUGGCUCCCCCGCUCCCCAGAGCUGAGGAUCCGGGGAGCCCCCCUCGGGCUUUGUCUCCCUGCCUGGGGGACCUGGAUGGAUCAGAUCUGCAGGGAGCUCUUCCCCUCCUCGAUGGGUGGGUCCCGCCUUCCUCUCGCUGCUCCGUUCUUCCCCACUGACCCCUUGCCGGCACCCUCAGCUGAGACACACCUGAUGGAAGGCCCAGCUUUUCCUCCUCAGACUUCAGAGCUUCCGGAAAAGUCAAAGGCAGUGCCUCCUUUGACAUGCAAAGUGUCUUAAGGGUGGAAGGAUUCUCGAAGAACUGGAUGAUGGCCGUGCCCGGCCCGAAGCUGUUCCAGGCCGUGCAGUUGUAGUGUGUCUGAAAGUCGGCCUCCAUGACGUUGUUGAUGGUGAGUGUGGACAGCACUCCGCUGCCCGAGUUGGUCCUCUCCACCGUGUAGCGCUCCAGCGUCCCCACCUCCAGGAAGUUCUCCUUCCAUGCCCAGGCCUGGGGUGGGGAGGGCAGGCGGUAAGAAGGAAGGGGCAGGCGGCAGAAACACCCGACCCGGGCUCCACGCACCCUCGCCCCAUGAGCCCUGUGCGUCCUUACGCCCAGCCCAGCUCUCGCCCUGCAACAAACACCAGUUCACCCUGUUGCCUGGAACCUUGGCCUGGAACCUCCAGCCUAGGAGGAAAGUGGCUCUGGACAUGAUGGAGAUGUAUGCCGGGAACAUUCGGACAUGCCCCGGGACGUUCUUUAAAGUGCAGAUUCUUGGGGCUUAACUCCUAACUAUGAAUCUCCAAGGGAGAGAUCCAGGAGUCUCUAUCUUCAUAACCAUCCCACGGACGCAGGGAUCAAUCCUCCCAGCUCUGCAAGGAAAGCCCCCGGGAGCAGAGCCGCCGGCUGCCCAGGCGGCCGUGGUAAUGAAGUGUCCCUGGGCAGCCCUGGAGUUAGCCAAAUGGUCAUUAAAUGUGAUGAGGGGUUUGACGGUUAA